This 395-nucleotide ribosomal RNA is filed under the name uncultured organism. RNAcentral describes it as "bacterial SSU rRNA". It matches the Rfam family "Bacterial small subunit ribosomal RNA", at positions 45 to 433 of the family's 1533-position model. The record is from RNAcentral.
CGCUUAACACAUGCAAGUCGAACGGCAGCAUGUUUGUGUAGCAAUACACAAAUGAUGGCGAGUGGCGGACGGGUGAGUAAUGCAUAGGGAUCUACCUUGUAGAGGGGGAUAACGUUAGGAAACUGGCGCUAAAACCGCAUAUUACUCUGAGGAGGAAAGCAGCCUGUUAAAGGGUUGUACUAUAAGAGGAACCUAUGUCAGAUUAGCUAGUUGGUAGGGUAAAGGCCUACCAAGGCGACGAUCUGUAGCUGGUCUGAGAGGAUGGACAGCCACACUGGGACUGAGACACGGCCCAGACUCCUACGGGAGGCAGCAGUGGGGAAUAUUGGACAAUGGGGGCGACCCUGAUCCAGCGAUGCCGCGUGUGUGAAGAAGGCCUUCGGGUUGUAAAGCGC